Molecule: small nuclear RNA, 107 nt
Organism: Myotis lucifugus (little brown bat)
Lineage: Eukaryota; Metazoa; Chordata; Mammalia; Chiroptera; Vespertilionidae
Source: Ensembl
GUGCUUGCUUCCACAGCACAUAUACUAAAAUUGAAACCAUACAAAGAAUAUUAGCACAGCCCGUGCUCAAGGAUGACACACAAAUUUGUAAAGCAUUCCAUAUUAUU